UACGUAGGGUGCGAGCGUUGUCCGGAAUUAUUGGGCGUAAAGGGCUCGUAGGCGGUCUGUCGCGUCGGGAGUGAAAACUCAGGGCUUAACCCUGAGCCUGCUUCCGAUACGGGCAGACUAGAGGUAUGCAGGGGAGAACGGAAUUCCUGGUGUAGCGGUGAAAUGCGCAGAUAUCAGGAAGAACACCCGUGGCGAAGGCGGCUCUCUGGGACGGUACUGACGCUGAGACGCGAAAGCGUGGGGAGCGAACAGG
This 253-nucleotide ribosomal RNA is filed under the name uncultured bacterium. RNAcentral describes it as "partial 16S ribosomal RNA". It matches the Rfam family "Bacterial small subunit ribosomal RNA", at positions 524 to 776 of the family's 1533-position model. The record is from RNAcentral.